Molecule: ribosomal RNA, 391 nt
Filed under: uncultured bacterium
Lineage: Bacteria
Description: bacterial SSU rRNA
Rfam family: Bacterial small subunit ribosomal RNA
Source: RNAcentral
AUUGAACGCUGGCGGCGUGCCUAACACAUGCAAGUCGAGCGGUAACAGGUGUAGCAAUACAUGCUGACGAGCGGCGAACGGGUGAGUAAUGCUUCGGAAUCUACCCAAUGGUGGGGAAUAACCAGCCGAAAGGUUGGCUAAUACCGCAUACGUCCCACGGGAGAAAGCAGGGGAUCGCAAGACCUUGCGCCAAUGGAUGAGCCGAAGUCGGAUUAGCUAGUUGGAGGGUAACGGCCUACCAAGGCGACGAUCCGUAGCUGGUCUGAGAGGACGACCAGCCACACUGGGACUGAGACACGGCCCAGACUCCUACGGGAGGCAGCAGUGGGGAAUAUUGGACAAUGGGGGAAACCCGUCGAUCCAGCGACGCCGCGUGUGUGAAGAAGGCCUG